GACGAACGCUGGCGGCGUGCUUAACACAUGCAAGUCGAACGGAAAGGCCCUGCUUUUGUGGGGUGCUCGAGUGGCGAACGGGUGAGUAACACGUGAGUAACCUGCCCUUGACUUUGGGAUAACUUCAGGAAACUGGGGCUAAUACCGGAUAGGAGCUCCUGCUGCAUGGUGGGGGUUGGAAAGUUUCGGCGGUUGGGGAUGGACUCGCGGCUUAUCAGCUUGUUGGUGGGGUAGUGGCUUACCAAGGCUUUGACGGGUAGCCGGCCUGAGAGGGUGACCGGCCACAUUGGGACUGAGAUACGGCCCAGACUCCUACGGGAGGCAGCAGUGGGGAAUAUUGCACAAUGGGCGGAAGCCUGAUGCAGCAACGCCGCGUGCGGGAUGACGGCCUUCGGGUUGUAAACCGCUUUCGCCUGUGACGAAGCGUGAGUGACGGUAAUGGGUAAAGAAGCACCGGCUAACUACGUGCCAGCAGCCGCGGUGAUACGUAGGGUGCGAGCGUUGUCCGGAUUUAUUGGGCGUAAAGGGCUCGUAGGUGGUUGAUCGCGUCGGAAGUGUAAUCUUGGGGCUUAACCCUGAGCGUGCUUUCGAUACGGGUUGACUUGAGGAAGGUAGGGGAGAAUGGAAUUCCUGGUGGAGCGGUGGAAUGCGCAGAUAUCAGGAGGAACACCAGUGGCGAAGGCGGUUCUCUGGGCCCUUCCUGACGCUGAGGAGCGAAAGCGUGGGGAGCGAACGGGCUUAGAUACCCUGGUAGUCCACGCUGUAAACGGUGGGUACUAGGUGUGGGGUCCAUUCCACGGGUUCCGUGCCGUAGCUAACGCUUUAAGUACCCCGCCUGGGGAGUACGGCCGCAAGGCUAAAACUCAAAGGAAUUGACGGGGCCCCGCACAAGCGGCGGAGCAUGCGGAUUAAUUCGAUGCAACGCGUAGAACCUUACCUGGGUUUGACAUGGAUCGGGAGUGCUCAGAGAUGGGUGUGCCUCUUUUGGGGUCGGUUCACAGGUGGUGCAUGCCUGUCGUCAGCUCGUGUCGUGAGAUGUUGGGUUAAGUCCCGCAACGAGCGCAACCCUUGUUCACUGUUGCCAGCACGUUAUGGUGGGGACUCAGUGGAGACCGCCGGGGUCAACUCGGAGGAAGGUGGGGAUGACGUCAAGUCCUCAUGCCCCUUAUGUCCAGGGCUUCACGCAUGCUACAAUGGCUGGUACAGAGAGUGGCGAGCCUGUGAGGGUGAGCGAAUCUCGGAAAGCCGGUCUCAGUUCGGAUUGGGGUCUGCAACUCGACCUCAUGAAGUCGGAGUCGCUAGUAAUCGCAGAUCAGCAACGCUGCGGUGAAAAAGUUCCCGGGGCU
RNAcentral lists this ribosomal RNA (1346 nucleotides) under uncultured bacterium. Its description in RNAcentral is "bacterial SSU rRNA". It matches the Rfam family "Bacterial small subunit ribosomal RNA", at positions 28 to 1381 of the family's 1533-position model. The record is from RNAcentral.